RNAcentral lists this ribosomal RNA (395 nucleotides) under uncultured bacterium. Its description in RNAcentral is "bacterial SSU rRNA". It matches the Rfam family "Bacterial small subunit ribosomal RNA", at positions 505 to 898 of the family's 1533-position model. The record is from RNAcentral.
GUGUCAGCCGCCGCGGUAAUACGUAGGGUGCAAGCGUUGUUCGGAAUUACUGGGCGUAAAGGGAGCGUAGGCGGGAUUGUAAGUUAGGAGUGUAAUUCGCGGGCUUAACCCGCGACUUGCUCUUAAUACUGCAGUUCUUGAGUAUGGGAGAGGGCGAUGGAAUUCCAGGUGUAGCGGUGGAAUGCGUAGAUAUCUGGAAGAACACCAGUAGCGAAGGCGGUCGCCUGGCCCAAUACUGACGCUGAGGCUCGAAAGCUAGGGGAGCAAACAGGAUUAGAUACCCUGGUAGUCCUAGCCGUAAACGAUGGACACUAGUUGCUGGGGGAGUCAAUCUUCUCGGUGACGAAGCUAACGCAUUAAGUGUCCCGCCUGGGGAGUACGCUCGCAAGGGUGAA